Molecule: ribosomal RNA, 464 nt
Filed under: Vreelandella stevensii
Lineage: Bacteria; Pseudomonadati; Pseudomonadota; Gammaproteobacteria; Oceanospirillales; Halomonadaceae
Description: partial 16S ribosomal RNA
Rfam family: Bacterial small subunit ribosomal RNA
Source: RNAcentral
CCUAGGGCGGCAGCAGUGGGGAAUAUUGGACAAUGGGCGAAAGCCUGAUCCAGCCAUGCCGCGUGUGUGAAGAAGGCCUUCGGGUUGUAAAGCACUUUCAGUGGGGAAGAAAGCCUUGGGGCUAAUACCCUCGAGGAAGGACAUCACCCACAGAAGAAGCACCGGCUAACUCCGUGCCAGCAGCCGCGGUAAUACGGAGGGUGCGAGCGUUAAUCGGAAUUACUGGGCGUAAAGCGCGCGUAGGCGGUCUGAUAAGCCGGUUGUGAAAGCCCCGGGCUCAACCUGGGAACGGCAUCCGGAACUGUCAGGCUAGAGUACAGGAGAGGAAGGUAGAAUUCCCGGUGUAGCGGUGAAAUGCGUAGAGAUCGGGAGGAAUACCAGUGGCGAAGGCGGCCUUCUGGACUGACACUGACGCUGAGGUGCGAAAGCGUGGGUAGCAAACAGGAUUAGAUACCCCAGUAGUC